Camellia sinensis is the source of this 195-nucleotide non-coding RNA. NCBI's taxonomy places the organism in Eukaryota, Viridiplantae, Streptophyta, Magnoliopsida, Ericales, Theaceae. The record is from RefSeq and is a predicted model, not a curated record.
AGGGACUUGCGCCAAAAUUACCUGACAGGUAGCUUGUCUGCAUCCAUUGGCAACCUAUCUCGCAUGCAAUACCUGACCGUGGGUAUUAAUGCAUUAUCGGGGGAGCUUCCAAAGGAACUGGGAAAACUUACUGAUUUGAGAUCACUGGCCUUUGGUACAAAUAACUUCUCUGGCACUCUACCGUUAGAGCUUGGG